RNAcentral lists this ribosomal RNA (442 nucleotides) under uncultured bacterium. RNAcentral describes it as "partial 16S ribosomal RNA". It matches the Rfam family "Bacterial small subunit ribosomal RNA", at positions 338 to 795 of the family's 1533-position model. The record is from RNAcentral.
CCUACGGGUGGCAGCAGUGGGGAAUAUUGGGCAAUGGGCGAAAGCCUGACCCAGCAACGCCGCGUGAAGGAAGAAGGCUUUCGGGUUGUAAACUUCUUUUGACAGGGAAGAGCAGAAGACGGUACCUGUCGAAUAAGCCACGGCUAACUACGUACCAGCAGCCACGGUCAUACGUAGGUCGCCAGCGUUGUCCGGAUUUACUGGGUGUAAAGGGCGUGUAGCCGGGCUGACAAGUCAGAUGUGAAAGCCGGGGGCUCAACCCCCGAACUGCAUUUGAAACUGGUGGUCUUGAGUAUCGGAGAGGCAGGCGGAAUUCCGAGUGUAGCGGUGAAAUGCGUAGAUAUUAGGAGGAACACCAGUGGCGAAGGCGGCCUGCGGGACGACAACUGACGGUGAGGCGCGAAAGCGUGGGGAGCAAACAGGAUUAGAUACCCGAGUAGUC